GGUUGAUGCUUCUCAAAACGGAAAGUUGCCUCCAUUGCCCCGAAGCUCGGAGAAUAAUGGAAGUGCUGAAACAGCUGCCGUUGAGAGAGAGCGCUUACUGCUUCGGAAAGUCUCUGAACUCCAAGCUAGAAUGACGCAUUUGACUUAUGAAUUGACCGCUGAAAAGUUGAAAUACAUUCAAUUACAAGAGCAGUUCAACUCGGCAUCUGGUCAGGAAGAAAAC
This 223-nucleotide unclassified non-coding RNA is filed under the name Hevea brasiliensis (rubber tree). Lineage: Eukaryota; Viridiplantae; Streptophyta; Magnoliopsida; Malpighiales; Euphorbiaceae. The record is from RNAcentral.